Labeo rohita (rohu) is the source of this 484-nucleotide long non-coding RNA. RefSeq lists it as uncharacterized. NCBI's taxonomy places the organism in Eukaryota, Metazoa, Chordata, Actinopteri, Cypriniformes, Cyprinidae. The record is from RefSeq and is a predicted model, not a curated record. The transcript has 4 exons.
GUGCCACCCUGAGAAGCAGUGGAGGCCGGCUGGGAUUGGUUGUGGUCUUGGCAUUGCUGCAGAGAAACAGAAAGGAUCAGCGAGAUGAACUUACUGUACUGUUCUACUACAAUCAUAAGGAAUUACAGAGAAAUUGCUCCUCCAGCUCAGUGCAUUUCUGUCGGAGGGUCCUGCAGUCCUCCUCCCUCUGCUCCAGCUCCUGAUUCACCUCAUCCAACCUCUGAGACCUUGGCCAUGGCAGUUGGGUUGCUGUCUAUGGAGGGUUAGAAAGCUCUCGGAUUUCAUCAAAGAUCUCUUUAUUUGUGUUCCGAAGAUGAAUGAAGGUUUUAUAGGUUUGAAACUACAUGAGGAUGAUCACAUAACAGACUAGAGGUAACUGCUUACUUCUCCUUGCUAUGUCUGUAUACCUGAGGCCGGCAGGACCAGCAUUUCCUCUCUAAAGCGUGUUGAGAAGUCCUCAGUGCAGAUGCUGUCCAUAGUGAGG